RNAcentral lists this ribosomal RNA (120 nucleotides) under Helianthus annuus (common sunflower). Lineage: Eukaryota; Viridiplantae; Streptophyta; Magnoliopsida; Asterales; Asteraceae. The record is from RNAcentral.
GGUUGCGAUCAUACCAGCACUAAUGCACCGGAUCCCAUCAGAACUCCGCAGUUAAGUGUGCAUGGGCGAGAGUAGUACUAGGAUGGGUGACCCCCUGGGAAGUCCUCGUGUUGCAACCCC